RNAcentral lists this ribosomal RNA (779 nucleotides) under Dictyochaeta sp. RNAcentral's name for it is "LSU rRNA". It matches the Rfam family "Eukaryotic large subunit ribosomal RNA", at positions 101 to 913 of the family's 3401-position model. The record is from RNAcentral. Lineage: Eukaryota; Fungi; Ascomycota; Sordariomycetes; Chaetosphaeriales; Chaetosphaeriaceae.
GCAACAGCUCAAAUUUGAAAUCUGGCCCUAGGCCCGAGUUGUAAUUUGCAGAGGAUGCUUCUGGUUAGGUGCCUUCCAAGUCCCCUGGAACGGGGCGCCGAAGAGGGUGAGAGCCCCGUCCGGUUGGCCGCCAAGCCUGUGUGAAGCUCCUUCGACGAGUCGAGUAGUUUGGGAAUGCUGCUCUAAACGGGAGGUAGACCCCUUCUAAAGCUAAAUAUUGGCCAGAGACCGAUAGCGCACAAGUAGAGUGAUCGAAAGAUGAAAAGCACUUUGAAAAGAGGGUUAAAAAGUACGUGAAAUUGUUGAAAGGGAAGCGCUUGUGACCAGACGUGUGCCGGGGUGUUCAGCGGGCGUUCUCGCCCGUGCACUCGCCCCGGUACAGGCCAGCGUCGGUUCGCGUGGGGGGACAAAGGCGUUGGGAACGUAGCUCCUCCGGGAGUGUUAUAGCCCAGCGUGUCAUGCCCCCGCGCGGACCGAGGUACGCGCUCCGCAAGGACGCUGGCGUAAUGGUCUCCAGCGGCCCGUCUUGAAACACGGACCAAGGAGUCGAGGUUUUGCGCGAGUGUUUGGGUGUUAAACCCGCACGCGUAAUGAAAGUGAACGCAGGUGGGAGCUUCGGCGCACCACCGACCGAUCCUGAUGUUUUCGGAUGGAUUUGAGUAGGAGCGUAGGGCCUCGGACCCGAAAGAUGGUGAACUAUACUUGGAUAGGGUGAAGCCAGAGGAAACUCUGGUGGAGGCUCGCAGCGGUUCUAACGUGCAAAUCGAUCGUCAAAUCUG